Molecule: microRNA, 23 nt
Filed under: Callorhinchus milii (elephant shark)
Lineage: Eukaryota; Metazoa; Chordata; Chondrichthyes; Chimaeriformes; Callorhinchidae
Description: eshark_NOVEL_193
Source: RNAcentral
UCUGAAGUGGAAUGUGCACUCCC